GACGAACGCUGGCGGCGUGCCUAAUACAUGCAAGUAGAACGCACAGUUUAUACCGUAGCUUGCUACACCAUAGACUGUGAGUUGCGAACGGGUGAGUAACGCGUAGGUAACCUGCCUGGUAGCGGGGGAUAACUAUUGGAAACGAUAGCUAAUACCGCAUAAUAUUAAUUAUUGCAUGAUAAUUAAUUGAAAGGUGCAAUUGCACCACUACCAGAUGGACCUGCGUUGUAUUAGCUAGUAGGUGAGGUAACGGCUCACCUAGGCGACGAUACAUAGCCGACCUGGGAGGGUGAUCGGCCAAACUGGGACUGAGACACGGCCCAGACUCCUACGGGAGGCAGCAGUAGGGAAUCUUCGGCAAUGGACGAAAGUCUGACCGAGCAACGCCGCGUGAGUGAAGAAGGUUUUCGGAUCGUAAAGCUCUGUUGUAAGAGAAGAACGGGUGUGAGAGUGGAAAGUUCACACUGUGACGGUAUCUUACCAGAAAGGGACGGCUAACUACGUG
RNAcentral lists this ribosomal RNA (505 nucleotides) under uncultured bacterium. Its description in RNAcentral is "partial 16S ribosomal RNA". It matches the Rfam family "Bacterial small subunit ribosomal RNA", at positions 28 to 507 of the family's 1533-position model. The record is from RNAcentral.